AGAGUUUGAUCAUGGCUCAGAACGUACGCUGGCGGCACGCCUAAUACAUGCAAGUCGAACGAAGUAGCAAUACUUAGUGGCAGACGGGUGAGUAACAUGUAGGUAUCUGCCCUUUGGCCUGGAAUAACACGAGGAAACUUGUGCUAAUACCGGAUAAGUCUUUACGGAGAAAGCUUUAUGCACCAUUGGAUGAGCCUGCACUUGAUUAGUUUGUUGGUGGGGUAAUGGCCUACCAAGACAAUGAUCAAUAGCUGAUUUGAGAGGAUGAUCAGCCACAUUGGGACUGAGACACGGCCCAAACUCCUACGGGAGGCAGCAGUAGGGAAUCUUGCACAAUGGAGGAAACUCUGAUGCAGCGAUGCCGCGUGAGUGAAGAAGGCCUUUGGGUUGUAAAGCUCUUUCGUCGGGGAAGAAAAUGACUGUACCCGAAUAAGAAGGUCCGGCUAACUUCGUGCCAGCAGCCGCGGUAAUACGAAGGGACCUAGCGUAGUUCGGAAUUACUGGGCUUAAAGAGUUCGUAGGUGGUUAAAAAAGUUGGUGGUGAAAUCCCAGAGCUUAACUCUGGAACUGCCAUCAAAACUUUUUAGCUAGAGUAUGAUAGAGGAAAGCAGAAUUUCUAGUGUAGAGGUGAAAUUCGUAGAUAUUAGAAAGAAUACCGAUUGCGAAGGCAGCUUUCUGGAUCAUUACUGACACUGAGGAACGAAAGCAUGGGUAGCGAAGAGGAUUAGAUACCCUCGUAGUCCAUGCCGUAAACGAUGUGUGUUAGACGUUGGAAAUUUAUUUUCAGUGUCGCAGCGAAAGCGAUAAACACACCGCCUGGGGAGUACGACCGCAAGGUUAAAACUCAAAUGAAUUGACGGGGACCCGCACAAGU
This 874-nucleotide ribosomal RNA is filed under the name marine metagenome. RNAcentral describes it as "bacterial SSU rRNA". It matches the Rfam family "Bacterial small subunit ribosomal RNA", at positions 8 to 930 of the family's 1533-position model. The record is from RNAcentral.